CGCGAAAAACCUUACCCACCUUUGACAUGUACGGAAGUCGCCAGAGAUGGCUUCGUGCUCGAAAGAGAACCGUAACACAGGUGCUGCAUGGCUGUCGUCAGCUCGUGUCGUGAGAUGUUGGGCUAAGUCCCGCAACGAGCGCAACCCUUGUCAUUAGUUGCUACAUUCAGUUGGGCACUCUAAUGAGACUGCCGGUGACAAACCGGAGGAAGGUGGGGAUGACGUCAAGUCCUCAUGGCCCUUAUAGGUGGGGCUACACACGUCAUACAAUGGCUGGUACAAAGGGUUGCCAACCCGCGAGGGGGAGCUAAUCCCAUAAAACCAGUCGUAGUCCGGAUCGCAGUCUGCAACUCGGCUGCGUGAAGUCGGAAUCGCUAGUAAUCGUGGAUCAGAAUGUCACGGUGAAUACGUUCCCGGGU
RNAcentral lists this ribosomal RNA (419 nucleotides) under uncultured beta proteobacterium. RNAcentral's name for it is "bacterial SSU rRNA". It matches the Rfam family "Bacterial small subunit ribosomal RNA", at positions 960 to 1378 of the family's 1533-position model. Lineage: Bacteria; Pseudomonadati; Pseudomonadota; Betaproteobacteria. The record is from RNAcentral.